UUUCCGUAGGUGAACCUGCGGAAGGAUCAUUAUCGUACAGACUGAGAGGUGCAUCCUAGGCCUGUCGCUAACCUAAAAUGCGCGCACGACCGAGUGUGUCCUCUUGCAUAAUAAUCCAUCUCACCCUUUGUGCAUCACCGCGUGGAGACCCUUCGGGAUCAUCUCGGAGGGGGUCUCGCGGUUUCACUAAAACCCCCCUUUUAAAAGUAUAGAAUGACCACAUUUAUGCAAUCAAUACAACUUUCAACAACGGAUCUCUUGGCUCUC
RNAcentral lists this unclassified non-coding RNA (267 nucleotides) under plant metagenome. RNAcentral's name for it is "partial contains small subunit ribosomal RNA, internal transcribed spacer 1, and 5.8S ribosomal RNA". The record is from RNAcentral.